AGUAGGGAUCUUCGGCAAUGGGGGCAACCCUGACCGAGCAACGCCGCGUGAGUGAAGAAGGUUUUCGGAUCGUAAAGCUCUGUUGUAAGUCAAGAACGAGUGUGAGAGUGGAAAGUUCACACUGUGACGGUAGCUUACCAGAAAGGGACGGCUAACUACGUGCCAGCAGCCGCGGUAAUACGUAGGUCCCGAGCGUUGUCCGGAUUUAUUGGGCGUAAAGCGAGCGCAGGCGGUUUGAUAAGUCUGAAGUUAAAGGCUGUGGCUCAACCAUAGUUCGCUUUGGAAACUGUCAAACUUGAGUGCAGAAGGGGAGAGUGGAAUUCCAUGUGUAGCGGUGAAAUGCGUAGAUAUAUGGAGGAACACCGGUGGCGAAAGCGGCUCUCUGGUCUGUAACUGACGCUGAGGCUCGAAAGCGUGGGGAGCGAACAGGAUUAGAUACCCUGGUAGUCCACGCCGUAAACGAUGAGUGCUAGGUGUUGGAUCCUUUCCGGGAUUCAGUGCCGCAGCUAACGCAUUAAGCACUCCGCCUGGGGAGUACGACCGCAAGGUUGAAACUCAAAGGAAUUGACGGGGCUCA
This 577-nucleotide ribosomal RNA is filed under the name Streptococcus sp. RNAcentral describes it as "bacterial SSU rRNA". It matches the Rfam family "Bacterial small subunit ribosomal RNA", at positions 353 to 922 of the family's 1533-position model. The record is from RNAcentral. Lineage: Bacteria; Bacillati; Bacillota; Bacilli; Lactobacillales; Streptococcaceae.